GAGGGGAAAAUGGUUGGCUACAUGAAGAAGGAGAUGAUUGAAGAUUUAACGAUUGUAGGAGGCUUGAUAGGGGUGCAAUUUAUGUAUGCUGGGAACGCUGUUUUCUUGAGUUAUCUAAUGUCUCUUGGCUUUACCCCUUCUACCAUUGUCAUCUUCUCUACUUUUGCUACCUUCCUCAUCACCUCUCCUUUCGCUGUUUAUUUUGAAAGGAAGAAAUGGCCCAAGGAACUCAGUUUCAGGUUGAUGAUCCAGCUUGUUUUGAUCUCUUUUGCAGGGUAUGCAAAACUUUCUAAUAUGUUUUAAUCUAUCCUCGCAUGUUUGACAACUCAAAAUUUUGAAUUUCCAUAUAAUUUUCAAGGGUAAUGAGGGAUUUAAAGAACAUAUUUUUUUAAUGAUUUUGAUUUUCUUUCGUUUGAAAAAAAAUUGAAUGAUCUUUCAUCAUUAUUUUCAAAUUCUGGGAAUGCUUAUGAAACAGGACAUUUUUGUUCAAAAAAUUAGUUGUUGAAUAAAAUUAAUAUGUUUAGGAUUAUAUAAUAUAUUCCUCAUUAAUGACCUCAUUAUACAUAGCUGCAUGCAUACAUAUAAUAAUCUCUUCUUUAUUUAAAUAUAUAUAUAUUUAUGGAGAAACUUGUUAAAUUUUUAUUUGUAUAAUAAUUAUUGCUCAGCCUUAAUUGCUUCCGUGAAAACUCAAAAUUAUUUAUAAUUAAAAGGAUUUUUGCUGGAAUUUUACGACUCAUACAACCGAUUUUGCUUACCUAUCAUGAAACGGUUGAGAGCUCCUCAGAAUAUUAGCAAAAUUUGCCGGAUAAAAUUUUGCUUUAAUUUGUAGUAUUAUUCUGUGGUUGAAUACAUUUGUAAAAAGAGAGAAUGAAGUCACAAUUUUGAUCUUUUUAUAAAGUUGAAAGAUGUGACGAAACACGAAAGCCAUGUGCUUCUCAUCUAUGACAUUUUGUCCACUUCUAUAACGAAAGUCUUCUCAAUAUUCCUAUUAUUUUUUUCCAACAUAUUUAUAUUUUAUUCGUGCGUUUGAUGUGUCGAAUACAGAAAUUUUCUGUCUUGGAUUUUUCUUUUUCAGGGUAACUUUAUUCCAAACGUUAUUCCUGAAGGGGAUUAAGCUAACCUCACCAGCACUGGCAACAGCCAUGCCAAACCUUGCUCCAGGACUUAUUUUCCUUAUUGCUUGGAUAGCAAGGUAUAUGUGUGAUUCAUUUCUUUUUCAUCGCCAACAUAAUUGCAAGGAUUUAGUCUCUAAUAAUUAAUUAUAUAUAUGUAGUAGUUUAUAUGUAGUUUUAUGCCUCUUAAAUAAACCAGACCAUUCUGAUUCAGGCUAGAGAAAGUUAGGCUAAGCUGCGUAUACAGCAAAGUGAAGAUUGUAGGCACAUUGCUGUGUGUAGCGGGAGCCCUCCUAAUGAGUCUAAUGCACAGCUCUAAAACAGCAAAAGAUGCCGGCUUGUUAGUUCCCUCGGUGGAUGUGGUUUUUGAUAAGCAAAAGAUGAUUGGUUGCUUAUAUCUCAUGGCUGCUGUUUUUGUUCUAUCAAGCAAUGUUGUAUUGCAGGUGAAUUUUCUGUUGGAUUUGUUCUCUGUUUUGAUUGCUUGUUAAUUGAGUUGUUUGAGUUGUUGCAGGC
RNAcentral lists this unclassified non-coding RNA (1625 nucleotides) under Hevea brasiliensis (rubber tree). Lineage: Eukaryota; Viridiplantae; Streptophyta; Magnoliopsida; Malpighiales; Euphorbiaceae. The record is from RNAcentral.